UAGGGAAUCUUCCGCAAUGGGCGAAAGCCUGACGGAGCAACGCCGCGUGAGUGAUGAAGGUCUUCGGAUCGUAAAACUCUGUUAUUAGGGAAGAACAAAUGUGUAAGUAACUAUGCACGUCUUGACGGUACCUAAUCAGAAAGCCACGGCUAACUACGUGCCAGCAGCCGCGGUAAUACGUAGGUGGCAAGCGUUAUCCGGAAUUAUUGGGCGUAAAGCGCGCGUAGGCGGUUUUUUAAGUCUGAUGUGAAAGCCCACGGCUCAACCGUGGAGGGUCAUUGGAAACUGGAAAACUUGAGUGCAGAAGAGGAAAGUGGAAUUCCAUGUGUAGCGGUGAAAUGCGCAGAGAAAUGGAGGAACACCAGUGGCGAAGGCGACUUUCUGGUAUGUAACUGAAGCUGAUGUGCGAAAGCGUGGGGAUCAAACAGG
Molecule: ribosomal RNA, 429 nt
Filed under: Actinomycetes bacterium
Lineage: Bacteria; Bacillati; Actinomycetota; Actinomycetes
Description: Actinobacteria bacterium partial 16S ribosomal RNA
Rfam family: Bacterial small subunit ribosomal RNA
Source: RNAcentral